AGUCGAGGGGCAGCAUUUCAGGUUUGCUUGCAAACUGGAGAUGGCGACCGGCGCACGGGCUGAGCUAACACGCUAUCCAACCUGCCGAUAACUCGGGGAUAGCCUUUCGAAAGAAAGAUUAAUACCCGAUGGUAUAAUCAGACCGCAUGGUCUUNUUAUUAAAGAAUUUCGGUUAUCGAUGGGGAUGCGUUCCAUUAGGCAGUUGGUGAGGUAACGGCUCACCAAACCUUCNAUGGAUAGGGGUUCUGAGAGGAAGGUCCCCCACAUUGGAACUGAGACACGGUCCAAACUNAUACGGGAGGCAGCAGUGAGGAAUAUUGGUCAAUGGGCGCAGGCCUGAACCAGCCAAGUAGCGUGAAGGAUGACUGCCCUAUGGGUUGUAAACUUCUUUUAUAAGGGAAUAAAGUUUUCCACGUGUGGAAUUUUUGUAUGUACCCAUAUGAAUAAGGAUCGGCUAACUCCGUGCCAGCAGCCGCGGUAAUACGGAGGAUCCGAGCGUUAUCCGGAUUUAUUGGGUUUAAAAGGGAGCGUAGGUGGACAGUUAAGUCAGUUGUGAAAGUUUGCGGCUCAACCGUAAAAUUGCAGUUGAUACUGGCUGUCUUGAGUACAGUAGAGGUGGGCGGAAUUCGUGGUGUAGCGGUGAAAUGCUUAGAUAUCACGAAGAACUCCGAUUGCGAAGGCAGCUCACUGGACUGCAACUGACACUGAUGCUCGAAAGUGUGGGUAUCAAACAGGAUUAGAUACCCUGGUAGUCCACACAGUAAACGAUGAAUACUCGCUGUUUGCGAUAUACAGUAAGCGGCCAAGCGAAAGCAUUAAGUAUUCCACCUGGGGAGUACGCCGGCAACGGUGAAACUCAAAGGAAUUGACGGGGGCCCGCACAAGCGGAGGAACAUGUGGUUUAAUUCGAUGAUACGCGAGGNAACCUUACCCGGGCUUAAAUUGCAUUUGAAUAUUUUGGAAANCAGNNUAGCCGNNAAGGCAAAUGUGAAGGUGCUGCAUGGUUGUCCUCACCUCGUGCCGUGAGGUGUCGGCUUAAGUGCCAUAACGAGCCCAACCCUUAUCUUUAGUUACUAACAGGUCAUGCUGAGGACUCUAGAGAGACUGCCGUCGUAAGAUGUGAGGAAGGUGGGGAUGACGUCAAAUCAGCACGGCCCUUACGUCCGGGGCUACACACGUGUUACAAUGGGGGGUACAGAAGGCAGCUACCUGGUGACAGGAUGCUAAUCCCAAAAGCCUCUCUCAGUUCGGAUCGAAGUCUGCAACCCGACUUCGUGAAGCUGGAUUCGCUAGUAAUCGCGCAUCAGCCAUGGCGCGGUGAAUACGUUGCCCGGGCCUUGUACACACCGCCCGUCAAGCCAUGAAAGCCGGGGGUACCUGAAGUACGUAACCGCAAGGAG
Molecule: ribosomal RNA, 1400 nt
Filed under: bacterium NLAE-zl-C49
Lineage: Bacteria
Description: 16S ribosomal RNA
Rfam family: Bacterial small subunit ribosomal RNA
Source: RNAcentral